GGCGGACGGGUGAGUAACGCGUGGGUAACCUGCCUUGUACUGGGGGACAACAGUUGGAAACGACUGCUAAUACCGCAUAAGCGCACAGCUUCGCAUGAAGCAGUGUGAAAAACUCCGGUGGUACAAGAUGGACCCGCGUCUGGUUAGCUAGUUGGUAAGGUAACGGCUUACCAAGGCGACGAUCAGUAGCCGACCUGAGAGGGUGAUCGGCCACAUUGGAACUGAGACACGGUCCAA
This 237-nucleotide ribosomal RNA is filed under the name uncultured Bacillota bacterium. RNAcentral's name for it is "uncultured Firmicutes bacterium partial 16S ribosomal RNA". It matches the Rfam family "Bacterial small subunit ribosomal RNA", at positions 97 to 334 of the family's 1533-position model. The record is from RNAcentral. Lineage: Bacteria; Bacillati; Bacillota.